Ictidomys tridecemlineatus (thirteen-lined ground squirrel) is the source of this 72-nucleotide non-coding RNA. Lineage: Eukaryota; Metazoa; Chordata; Mammalia; Rodentia; Sciuridae. The record is from Rfam.
GGGGUUGUGGCUCAGUGGUAGAGCACUUGCCUGGAAUGUGUGAGGCCCUAGGUUCCAUCCUUAGCAUCGCAU